AUGUUGCAGGGAAAACCUGAGCAACAGACUAGCCGGUCUUUCCGUUGCGAGUAUCCUACGAUGGUCAAAUUACUAAGAGCUAUAGACAAUGGAUGGUACACUGUCGAGCACCGGUCAAGUCACAAUCAUUCCCUGUCUCUUACGUGCGGAGAAAAGGUUCAUUGGCCUUCCCACAAACACAUUGACGUUUACAAAAAAGACUUGUUGAAACAACUUAGGGCAAACAAUGUGAACCUCAACAAGGUGUAUAUCAUAGUUGGCAGCUUCUUCAGUUCAUCACAGGGCGCACCUUUCACAAAAAGGUCAUUGCGCAAUCUGUGUGGGCGAAUAAGCUGAGACCAAGCUGAUGACGAUGUCAACAAAACCCUAGCCGUGUUCAAAGAGAUUCAGCAGAAUGACACGGAAUUCACCUACAGAGUCCAGGGCGAUGAAGAGAGCAGAAUCAAAAACCUUAUGUGGACAAACAGAAACAACAAGUUCCAGUACAAGUUCUUCGGCGAUGUUAUCACAUUCGAUAUGAUGUAUCGGAAAAACUUGUAUGACAUGCCCUUUGGUUUGUUCGUUGGAGUGAACAAUCAUUUUCAAAGCAUAAUACUAGCUGGUAUUCUGAUGCAUGAUGAACAAGUCGAGAGCUUCUAA
Molecule: ribosomal RNA, 639 nt
Filed under: Triticum aestivum (bread wheat)
Lineage: Eukaryota; Viridiplantae; Streptophyta; Magnoliopsida; Poales; Poaceae
Description: partial small subunit ribosomal RNA
Source: RNAcentral